RNAcentral lists this ribosomal RNA (253 nucleotides) under uncultured bacterium. RNAcentral's name for it is "partial 16S ribosomal RNA". It matches the Rfam family "Bacterial small subunit ribosomal RNA", at positions 524 to 776 of the family's 1533-position model. The record is from RNAcentral.
UACGUAGGGGGCAAGCGUUGUCCGGAUUUAUUGGGCGUAAAGAGCGUGUAGGCGGCCACACAGGUCUGCUGUGAAAACUCGAGGCUCAACCUCGAGCUGUCGGUGGAAACCGUGUGGCUAGAGUCCGGAAGAGGAGAGUGGAAUUCCCGGUGUAGCGGUGAAAUGCGCAGAUAUCGGGAAGAACACCCGUGGCGAAGGCGGCUCUCUGGUACGUGACUGACGCUGAGACGCGAAAGCGUGGGGAGCAAACAGG